RNAcentral lists this ribosomal RNA (253 nucleotides) under uncultured bacterium. Its description in RNAcentral is "partial 16S ribosomal RNA". It matches the Rfam family "Bacterial small subunit ribosomal RNA", at positions 524 to 776 of the family's 1533-position model. The record is from RNAcentral.
GACGGAGGGAGCUAGCGUUGUUCGGAAUGACUGGGCGUAAAGGGCGCGUAGGCGGUUUUUUAAGUGAGGCGUGAAAGCCCUGGGCUUAACCCAGGAGGUGCGUUUCAGACUGGAAGACUUGAGGACGAGAGAGGAAAGUGGAAUUCCUAGUGUAGAGGUGAAAUUCGUAGAUAUUAGGAAGAACACCAGUGGCGAAGGCGACUUUCUGGCUCGUAACUGACGCUGAGGCACGAAAGCCAGGGGAGCAAACGGG